AGGACGAACGCUGGCGGCGUGCCUAACACAUGCAAGUCGAGCGGGGACAUGCGACGGAUAGGAAGUUUCGGAUGGACUUGAAGAUGCAUGUCUAGCGGCGGACGGGUGAGUAACGCGUGAGCAACCUGUCCCUUACAGGGGGAUAACACAGCGAAAGUUGUACUAAUACCGCAUAAGACCGCGGGAGGACAUCCGUUCAGGGGGUCAAAAGGAGGAAUCCGGUAAGGGGUGGGCUCGCGUCCGAUUAGAUAGUUGGUGAGGUAACGGCCCACCAAGUCGACGAUCGGUAGCCGACCUGAGAGGGUGAUCGGCCACAUUGGGACUGAGACACGGCCCAAACUCCUACGGGAGGCAGCAGUGGGGAAUAUUGGGCAAUGGGGGGAACCCUGACCCAGCAACGCCGCGUGAGGGAAGAAGGUUUUCGGAUCGUAAACCUCUGUCCUUGGUGAAGAGGAAGAGACGGUAGCCAAGGAGGAAGCCCCGGCUAACUACGUGCCAGCAGCAGC
This 506-nucleotide ribosomal RNA is filed under the name uncultured bacterium. RNAcentral's name for it is "bacterial SSU rRNA". It matches the Rfam family "Bacterial small subunit ribosomal RNA", at positions 26 to 518 of the family's 1533-position model. The record is from RNAcentral.